UAAAAGGUAGUAUAAAUUAAAAAUUAUUAUGUGAAGCUGUUAACUUUGUGAUGUGCAAAAAGCACCCUUUUAG
RNAcentral lists this transfer RNA (73 nucleotides) under Stylochus stellae. RNAcentral describes it as "tRNA-Asn". Lineage: Eukaryota; Metazoa; Platyhelminthes; Polycladida; Stylochidae. The record is from RNAcentral.